This 1078-nucleotide ribosomal RNA is filed under the name Parafenestella ulmicola. Its description in RNAcentral is "Parafenestella sp. CP-2021c partial small subunit ribosomal RNA". It matches the Rfam family "Eukaryotic small subunit ribosomal RNA", at positions 47 to 810 of the family's 1831-position model. The record is from RNAcentral. Lineage: Eukaryota; Fungi; Ascomycota; Dothideomycetes; Pleosporales; Cucurbitariaceae.
AGAUCGGCAUGUCUAGUAUAAGCAUUAUACCGUGAAACUGCGAAUGGCUCAUUAAAUCAGUUAUCGUUUAUUUGAUAGUACCUUACUACUUGGAUAACCGUGGUAAUUCUAGAGCUAAUACAUGCUGAAAACCCCAACUUCGGGAGGGGUGUAUUUAUUAGAUAAAAAACCAACGCCCUUCGGGGCUUCUUGGUGAUUCAUGAUAACUUUACGGAUCGCAUGGCCUUGCGCCGGCGACGGUUCAUUCAAAUUUCUGCCCUAUCAACUUUCGAUGGUAAGGUAUUGGCUUACCAUGGUUUCAACGGGUAACGGGGAAUUAGGGUUCGAUUCCGGAGAGCGAGCCUGAGAGACGGCUAGCACAUCCAAGGAAGGCAGCAGGCGCGCAAAUUACCCAAUCCCGACACGGGGAGGUAGUGACAAUAAAUACUGAUACAGGGCUCUUUUGGGUCUUGUAAUUGGAAUGAGUACAAUUUAAACCUCUUAACGAGGAACAAUUGGAGGGCAAGUCUGGUGGACAUUCAGCUCCCAUUCUGCUGACGCCAGAGAUAGUCGGGCAUCUUUUCGAUGUUAUGCCGGCUAGUCGAUGUACCUACUAACUGAUGGGGAGGUACCGGCAAGACAACCUGGAUCGGGGAAGGCUAAGGUGUCGCUUGCGAUGCUAUGCUAAUCCCGAGCAGAGCUGCCAUGGAGCGAUCUGUGGACAGCCUGUGUAGAGCACGCUAAGGUGUCGGCCAACUCACGUAGUUGGCUUAAGGGACGUGCCAUUCCCACCUGAAAGGGUGGCUGUCAGCAAUAGCGCCCAUCACGCGAAGGCUGACAGGUUCAAACAGAUGUUUGGAGAUUAUAAAGGCCAGCAGCCGCGGUAAUUCCAGCUCCAAUAGCGUAUAUUAAAGUUGUUGCAGUUAAAAAGCUCGUAGUUGAACUUGGGUCUGGCUGGCAGGUCCGCCUCACCGCGUGUACUUGUCCGGCCGGGCCUUCUUCUGGAGAACCUCAUGCCCUUCACUGGGCGUGUGGGGACAGACUUUUACUUUGAAAAAUUAGAGUGUUCAAAGCAGCCUUUGCUCGAAUACGUUAGCAU